GGGGCUGUAGCUCAGUGGUAGAGCACUUGCCUAGCAUGUGUGAGACACUGGGUUUGAUUCUCAGUACCACCU
This 72-nucleotide transfer RNA is filed under the name Ictidomys tridecemlineatus (thirteen-lined ground squirrel). RNAcentral describes it as "Spermophilus tridecemlineatus (thirteen-lined ground squirrel) tRNA". It matches the Rfam family "tRNA". From Rfam's summary of the family: Transfer RNA (tRNA) molecules are approximately 80 nucleotides in length. The record is from Rfam by way of RNAcentral. Lineage: Eukaryota; Metazoa; Chordata; Mammalia; Rodentia; Sciuridae.